UACGGAGGGUGCAAGCGUUGCUCGGAAUUACUGGGCGUAAAGCGCGUGUAGGCGGUCUCGUGUGUCUGGCGUGAAAGCCACGGGCUCACCCCGGGAAGUGCGUUGGAAACUGCGAGACUAGAGUUCCGGAGAGGAAGGUGGAAUUCCAGGUUUAGCGGUGAAAUGCGUAGAUAUCUGGAAGAACACCGGUGGCGAAGUCGGCCUUCUGGACGGGGACUGACGCUGAGACGCGAAAGCGUGGGGAGCAAACAGG
Molecule: ribosomal RNA, 253 nt
Filed under: uncultured bacterium
Lineage: Bacteria
Description: partial 16S ribosomal RNA
Rfam family: Bacterial small subunit ribosomal RNA
Source: RNAcentral